This 573-nucleotide ribosomal RNA is filed under the name Saccharomyces cerevisiae (brewer's yeast). RNAcentral's name for it is "eukaryotic LSU rRNA". It matches the Rfam family "Eukaryotic large subunit ribosomal RNA", at positions 79 to 667 of the family's 3401-position model. The record is from RNAcentral. Lineage: Eukaryota; Fungi; Ascomycota; Saccharomycetes; Saccharomycetales; Saccharomycetaceae.
CUUAGUACGGCGAGUGAAGCGGCAAAAGCUCAAAUUUGAAAUCUGGUACCUUCGGUGCCCGAGUUGUAAUUUGGAGAGGGCAACUUUGGGGCCGUUCCUUGUCUAUGUUCCUUGGAACAGGACGUCAUAGAGGGUGAGAAUCCCGUGUGGCGAGGAGUGCGGUUCUUUGUAAAGUGCCUUCGAAGAGUCGAGUUGUUUGGGAAUGCAGCUCUAAGUGGGUGGUAAAUUCCAUCUAAAGCUAAAUAUUGGCGAGAGACCGAUAGCGAACAAGUACAGUGAUGGAAAGAUGAAAAGAACUUUGAAAAGAGAGUGAAAAAGUACGUGAAAUUGUUGAAAGGGAAGGGCAUUUGAUCAGACAUGGUGUUUUGUGCCCUCUGCUCCUUGUGGGUAGGGGAAUCUCGCAUUUCACUGGGCCAGCAUCAGUUUUGGUGGCAGGAUAAAUCCAUAGGAAUGUAGCUUGCCUCGGUAAGUAUUAUAGCCUGUGGGAAUACUGCCAGCUGGGACUGAGGACUGCGACGUAAGUCAAGGAUGCUGGCAUAAUGGUUAUAUGCCGCCCGUCUUGAAACACGGACC